RNAcentral lists this long non-coding RNA (735 nucleotides) under Homo sapiens (human). Its description in RNAcentral is "HSALNT0389317". Lineage: Eukaryota; Metazoa; Chordata; Mammalia; Primates; Hominidae. The record is from RNAcentral.
AGACAGGGUCUUGCUAUGUUGCCCAGGCUGGUCUCAAACUCUUGGCCUAAAGGGACCCUCCUACCUUGAGCUCCUGAGUGGCUGCGAUUACAGACUCCGGACACUGCACCCGGCUCCAGGAGGCAUGAGGAGGUGAGAGAUGGAAAGAAUGCUGUCUGUCAUUUGGAGUCAGAAGGAAAAGAAGGUUGAGGGUCUGCCAGCUCUGCUCUAGUGGUUUUUUCCUGUUUCACCUUUUACAAAAUCGAGAUAAUCGUUUCUACUUGGUAGCGAUAUUGUGAGGUGUAAAAUGGAUUAAUACAUGCAAAAUGCUUAAAGCAACUUCUGGCAUACGGUGAUCUCUCAACCAAUCCAUUGUUAUUUUAUUAUUAUUAUUUUUUUGAGACAGAGUUUUGCUCUUGUUACCCAGGCUGGAGUGCAAUGGUGUGAUCUCGGCUCACUGCAACCUCUGUUUCCCGGAUUCAAGCGAUUUUCCUCCUCCUGAGUAGCUGAGAUUACAGGUGCCCACCACCACACCCAGCUAAUUUUUUGUUUUCUUUUGUUUUUUGUUUUUUUUUUUUGAGACAGAGUCUCACUCUGUUGCCCAGGCUGGAGUGCAGUGGCACGAUCUCGGCUCACUGCAAGCUCUGCCUCCCGGGUUCACACCAUUCUCCUGCCUCAGCCUCCCCAGUAGCUGGGACUACAGGCGCCCGCCACCACGCCUGGCUAAUUUUUUGUAUUUUUAGUAGAGAUGGGGUU